GAGCCCUGCAGAGCAAAGGAAGGCCCAGAGUUAAUCCCACUGCUCGUAGUGGCACUUCAGCGGCAAUCGGAGAGACAGCAGAACGAACCCGGCCGGCAAGAUUUAUGAGGGGUGAUAAAAAGCUAAUUCAGAGUCGUUUAAGGAUGUUUUGAAUUUGCAGCAGUGCAUAGAACAGUUUGCCACAGAGCUCGGCCCUCCCUGACAGAGCCUAAACAGACGCUAAAUGCAAGUCCAUCAUGCACGUCCAUCAUGCACGUCCAUCAUGCACGUCCAUCAUGCACGUCCAUCAUGCACAUCUCCUCAGUUUUCAGUGAUAUGAAGUCCUGGUUUUUCUCCUCCACAAGCAAUCCUAAACUGUGAAGAAUGAGCCCUCUCCUAAUUUACGUAAGACAGAAGAGGAAGGAGUUGAAAUCUGCGUUCUCAGAAGGGCACUGGAGUCAUACUAUCUUCACCAGACUCACACUGCCAAGACCAGAGCUCUAAAAAUUCACUGGUACCUCAAAAUAAACCUGAGUAAAUAAAUGGCCCACCUUAAGUUCAAUUAUUAGGGGUGAAUUGUCUGCAUUUUGCCUACCUUGCCUUUUUUAAAGCUUCAGAACUCUUCUACCUUCUAAGGAUUUUCUUUACACUCUCAAAGACUAGCAAUGUACCUCUUUUUGCUUCUUUAAUAUGGAAUUAAGAUCUCUACCUACUUUUUCACAAAAAAACUCACCAAAGAAAAGACAUUGGACUUAAAAGUGGGACACUGGUAAUAUUCAGAGGAGAAAAAUUGCCCAGAGAAAUUUCUCCUGCCUAUUGUUUGUUGCCUACACAGUGCAACUUGAGAAUGUCUGCUGAGCUCAAGCAUGUGUGUGCCACACUGACCACCUCCCCCACAGCAGCUGGAAAAAAUGAUGCUAAGCUCUCAAGCCAUCCCUUUUUUGCUAUUUCAUUUACUUACUUUCAUUUCAUUUUCCUUCAGCAUUAGCACAACUCUUUCCUUGUUGGGACACCAUCUGUGACAAACUGCACAUACACACAAUAUGCUUUUCCCAAAACAUCCAUCAAGCUAUGUAAACUGAAUUCAGUGACUGCACGCAUGUGCCCUCUGGGACUCUCAUUUUACAGACAGGAAAAGACAUUAAAACAGCAAAUGUAAGCAAGUAUCACACUAAGCAAUUAAAAAGUAAUAAAUGCCAGUUAUUUGGAUUGGAAAAGCUCUUCUAAGAAUGUUCCUCAGUGGAAAAUGGAAAGUAUUUUGAAUGGCCCCCGUGCCUAUUGGAAGCUACAACGGGUGACAUCGAGUUCUUGCUAAAGCACAAGAACAAGACAGAAUCCAAGAAGCAAGUUAGAAAUAUCUUAUGAAUAUGAGCAAGUUAAACCUUUUUGAAAACAUUUGCAGACCAAAAUGAAAAUAAAAGUAGGACAGUAACUUCAUCAAAUAUGAAGAAGAAGCAGGUUUACGUUUCAUCAACAUUCAACAUCUUAUUCUUCCAGGAUGCUCUCAAUUGCUCUCCACACAAAACCUCAUUAUAAGAGAUUUUAAAAAAAGGUAAUUUUGUUUUACUGAUUUGUCCACUACAAUUGUGUUGCCUCAGUCAAGAGGUCAGGAGAAGAAACAAACCAUUUAGUCUCAAAACCCUGUAUUAGCAACAGUCAAGUUAUUUUUUAUAUUUUGGAGGAAAUAACCUCAAACAAAAUCUUAGAUGCAGAUCUUUCAAAUCUACUUUCAGGUAAAGUACAAAACUGACAGAAAUAAACUCGCUGAAGGAAAUAAGAUGUUUUAAAAAUUGUUUAUGUUUCAUAUUCUAUUGCUUCCUCAGUUCACAAACUGGGAUCUUUUACGGUAUUAUCUUGUCAGGAUGAAUGUUCAAAUAAUGUUGUCAACUUUUAAUAUGCUGAAUGUUCACACAGGAAUGAAGAGUUCACCAUAUACCUGAGGCACUUAUCCUGUCUCUGCACUGAUCAAAUACAUGAUGCUAUCAGCAAACUAAUUUUCUUUUAUUACAAAUCUCUCACCAACUUCAAGGGGAAAAAGAAAACUAGACACUGUUUGAGAGAUUUAAUUAACAUGAAGUAUGUACUUAGGCCAACUUCUGCCUGCUUAUGAGAAUUUUGAAGUGGAACAGGCCAAGGACUGUAAAAUGAGCUAAUAAAGAACAUGCUACUUAAACUCAUGUACUUACAGCCUUGCACAGGUUACAUAAUGCUAAAACAAAAAUUAAUAAACUUAAGCCUCUCAUUUCCUAUCCUGAAAAACACAAACUCGAGUGAAGGGAGACAUUCCCUAUUCAGCUGGAAUUCCUUCAUAAGAAGCAGAGGGGGAAAUACAAUCCAGUACAAAUGUUUGGACUAGGGAUAAAAAACAAACAUCAUAUGCUGCUUAAAGAUAGACUAUGGUAUUAUUCUGAGUGAUGCAGUAAGGAGAAACCAAAGGAAUUAGCUUCUCCAAAGACCUCUGGGGUAAUGCUGACAAUACCAGAGAACAAUUUAGCUUAUUUUCAACUUGCAAGAAAGGAAAAAGAACAGUAAACAAGAGCCCAAAAAGGCCAUGCAGCCUGACAGGAACUCCCAUUGUCAGGAGGUCAAUCCACCAUUUUUUGCUGCUCACUGUAACCACUUCCUAACCAUGCUAUAAAUCCUAACAUUUCUUACUAACAUUCCCCUCUGCCCCGCUCAGGUGUGACCCCAGCUGGAGCUCCGGGGACCCAGCACAAGACAGACAUGGACGUGCUGGAGUGAGGCCACAGCAGGGACACAGAAAUGGUCAGAAGGCUGGAACACCCCUCCAGUGAGGAAAGACAGAGCGCUGGGGUUGUUCAGCCUGAGAAACAGAAACCUCCAGGGAGACCUUAGCAGUAUUUAAAGGGGCUUGUGAAAAAGACAAAGAAGGACUUUUACCAGGUGACAGAACAAGGGACAGUAGUUUUAAACAAGAAGACAUUUUAAUUGGACAUAAGGAAGACACUGUAAACUUGUCUUUAAACAUUGUAAACAUGAGUGUGGCGGGAAGUUGGAUGUCCCAUCCCUGAAAGUGUUCAAGGGGAGCAAAAGGAAUCAGAGCACCACAAAAUCAAAUACUAGAGCUUGUCCCAGGAGAGGCAGGAGAGGGGGAAGAAAGGACAGAGGAGAACUUCUCUGUUCCAGCAGCAACAAGAUGUCACUCCAAUGUCCCUUCAGUGUCAAUUAUUUUAUGUGUGCAAAGCCUUGAGUGAGUCUCAACUUUACCUGUCCAUCCAUCUUCCUUAAAAUAAUGGGACCUUAACUGCC
Molecule: long non-coding RNA, 3249 nt
Organism: Passer domesticus (house sparrow)
Lineage: Eukaryota; Metazoa; Chordata; Aves; Passeriformes; Passeridae
Exons: 2
Source: RefSeq, a predicted model, not a curated record